This 168-nucleotide non-coding RNA is filed under the name Limosilactobacillus oris. Lineage: Bacteria; Bacillati; Bacillota; Bacilli; Lactobacillales; Lactobacillaceae. The record is from RNAcentral.
CACUGUGAGGUGGAAUCUGAAGGAAGUCUAAAGCAAAGUACUGCACCGAUGAACAAGAAGUAGCUACAAGGCUGAGAGUAACGGAUAAGACUGCUCAACAAGUUGAAAUCCAAUACUACUCGAAGUUACUCUCAGUAAAGCUAACGGUGAUAUGGUACGAAAGUUAAU